GACAAACGCUGGCGGCGUGCUUAACACAUGCAAGUCGAACGGAAAGGCCCUGCUUUUGUGGGGUUCUCGAGUGGCGAACGGGUGAGUAACACGUGAGUAACCUGCCCUUGACUUUGGGAUAACUUCAGGAAACUGGGGCUAAUACCGGAUAGGAGCUCCUGCUGCAUGGUGGGGGUUGGAAAGUUUCGGCGGUUGGGGAUGGACUCGCGGCUUAUCAGCUUGUUGGUGGGGUAGUGGCUUACCAAGGCUUUGACGGGUAGCCGGCCUGAGAGGGUGACCGGCCACAUUGGGACUGAGAUACGGCCCAGACUCCUACGGGAGGCAGCAGGGGGGAGUAUUGCACAAUGGGCGGAAGCCUGAUGCAGCAGCGCCGCGUGCGGGAUGACGGCCUUCGGGUUGUAAACCGCUUUCGCCUGUGACGAAGCGUGAGUGACGGUAAUGGGUAAAGAAGCACCGGCUAACUACGUG
Molecule: ribosomal RNA, 468 nt
Filed under: uncultured bacterium
Lineage: Bacteria
Description: partial 16S ribosomal RNA
Rfam family: Bacterial small subunit ribosomal RNA
Source: RNAcentral